UACGGAGGAUGCGAGCGUUAUCCGGAUUUAUUGGGUUUAAAGGGUGCGUAGGCGGCUUUUUAAGUCAGCGGUGAAAUUUUGCAGCUUAACUGUAACAGUGCCGUUGAUACUGGGGAGCUAGGAUUUGGUUGCUGUGGGUGGAAUGUGUGGUGUAGCGGUGAAAUGCUUAGAGAUCACACAGAACACCGAUUGCGAAGGCAGCACACUAAGUCAUUAUUGACGCUGAGGCACGAAAGUGUGGGGAUCAACAGGAUUAGA
This 258-nucleotide ribosomal RNA is filed under the name uncultured prokaryote. Its description in RNAcentral is "partial 16S ribosomal RNA". It matches the Rfam family "Bacterial small subunit ribosomal RNA", at positions 524 to 782 of the family's 1533-position model. The record is from RNAcentral.